This 2394-nucleotide long non-coding RNA is filed under the name Paramuricea clavata. The record is from RNAcentral. Lineage: Eukaryota; Metazoa; Cnidaria; Anthozoa; Malacalcyonacea; Plexauridae.
CGAUGGUCAACAUCAGAAAUGUUGGCACUUCCUGGAGCAAUUCAAUUGCUUCAAAUACAAGGCUACUACAUAAAGUAAAAAACAGUGAACAUUAUUUUUUCACUCUAGUAACUCGUAGUGAGACCCACUAGCUUAAUUUGCGGUCUGUUCGUGCCAAUGUUCUUCUUUUUGUGUAAAUGUACUGCUUAGGUGUCUCCCGUGUCUGCAGCGCGCAGUUAGAAUCCAGAAUAUAGGCAGACAAGUAAAACCUUGCCAGACUUUAAAUUUUUGUUUAUAUCGAUAUGUUAUGUUCAUAAAUGUAUAGAAAUCUCAUGAAAUGCGUUAGGCUUAGGUUUGGAGUUAAAUCUAACCCUAUAACCUUAACCUUAAUCUAUUACAUGAUCUGUAUAUUUGUGUACGUAAUAUAUGGGUAUAGCCAAAAUUUUGUUGAAAAGCUGGCAUAGUUUUCCUUCGGUAGGAUAACUAAACUGGGUACAAAUGGUAUCCAUAGCUCAUAGAGGGUGCAAAUGGUACCCGUAAGAAGAUUGGUGGAUAUCGUGGACAGUUAAACACAAAGAUCAGUUUAGGACUGUAAUGACACAAUUAAUGUAAUAAUAAAUAGUCUAGGCUUUCAUCGCCCGUAGUGCAUGUUUAUCGCUGGUUUCGAACGUUAGUUUUCUGCCCCGAGUUAUAUGAAAACAGUUCGCUACCAGAGAUUAGGUCCCCCCUCUGUUAUGGUGGCUCAACGACUUCGUGGAAGACAAUUAACAUAAGGCAUGCCAACCUUGCCCCUGUUUGUGGAAGCUCACCAGGUGCGAUGGCACACUAGGUUAGGUUAAGCUAAGGGCAUGACCGAGACUCCACAUUCGGGGGUAUUCCCUUGCAGGUUUUUGAAAGGUUGUAUGCGCGUGCGCACUAGUUAUGAAGGUUAGGCAGCUAGAAAUAGGGGGCUUUUGCUUAUUUCUGCAUGCAUACUAUAAGACUAUAAUUGAUAUUAUCGUCAUGCUUUUGCGCCAGUAACUUUCUGUAAAGUAUUUAACACAACAGGAAAAUGGAAUCUGUUUUUCUGCUGAAAAAUACUUAUAGAACCAAUUCAAAGUGGAAAAAAAGAAAUAUUGCGAAAAAAAGAGAGAAAUAAAAAAGAAAACCCGCGAAGCCACUUUGAAUAUAAGCCACAAUAGUCCAAGAAUACUCGUUGCAGAAAAAAAACAACAAAAAAGAAACCAUUUUCUGCCUAAAAUAUCUUGGAUUAGGGGCUUAACGAUAAGAAACGUAGUUCUCGCUCCAAAGUGGAGAAUAGGCUCGUUUCUUUAGGUUGCUAAUGCAUUGCGCGCGCGCGUCAUAAAAUUGUACUAUAAAUUUUCAGUUGAAAAGACUGCCAGGAAAAAUAGGGUGUUUUCAUGUGUUACUUUGUUGACGGACAAGUUUUCAAAACAAUGGUUUUCUAGCUUCCUUGUAUUUCGGCACUUUAACUUGUUCCCAAACAUAGCAGCCAUGAAAACACUCUGCAGAUCAAGUUUAUCUAUGGUCGCAAUAGCAACUAGAAUGUUUGCCAUGUUGCAUUCCGUGUUGUCUUGCACUGUCCAUACAUCAGCUUGGUCGAACCAUGGAUCAUAAAAACACCAUGGUCGAACGCAGCUAAUUAACAUAAGCGGCGCACGCGUGCUGCUGCAUUGCGGAGUACAGUCAGUGAGUGUACUCCAUGUGCAAAUAGUGAAGUGUGCUCUAUAUAUAGUCUUGAAACAAAGUUUAAUGCGCAAAGUUUCAUGCUUACUAAAAUUCAACGCGCUACGUUGCAUGCUUAAUAAAAUUAAGGGCAUGAAAAUCAGUGCAUGAAAAUCAGUGCAUGCCAUAUUUGAGUGCGCGCGUUGCAAUUUUCUUGCGCGCGACAGCAAAAUGCGCCAAAAUAUAAAAAUCUAAGUAUAGAAAUGCACACAUCACAUCCUCAAAAUGCAUCCAAGUGUCCUAACACAUUUUACAAUGAAAUACUGUAAAAUAUGUUGAGCCGUUGGAUUCAUUUGCCACGCACCUUGUCCUGAACAUGUCAGAAAUAUUUUCAGGUUUCAAGGUUAAGAUAAAUACACCUUAGUGGAACAAUCUGUUCAUAAAAAGGGAUAUUUGUCUUGCGCUAUUUGUAGACUGAAUUUUCGGUGGUCUACAAUGCUUUUUUGAACAUCUCCUGAGAUUUUUUAAUUUUUUUUUUGCAAGAUUCUUACUUUUCUGGGUUUUGGUAGGUUAUGGGUAGGUAUGGUAUAUAUUGGUAGGUAUGGUAUAUAUAUGGUAAUAUAGUUAAUAGGUAAGCGGGGUUCCCCUGGGGAUUCCGGCAUCCGGACUCAUAAUCACCAAGGUUUUUCACCAGAUCUUGCCAUGGCACUUCUGGUUUUCCUCGGGUGAUUAUAAAUUUUUUCGUUUGGC